UUCCGGUUGAUCCUGCCGGAGGUUACUGCUAUCGGUGUUCGACUAAGCCAUGCGAGUCAAAUGUUCUUCGUGAACAUGGCGGACUGCUCAGUAACACGUGGAUAACCUGCCCUUAGGUUCGGCAUAACUCCGGGAAACUGGAGAUAAUUCCGAAUAGGUCAAAUAUGCUGGAAUGCUUUUUGGCCAAAAGACUUCGGUUGCCUAAGGAUGGAUCUGCGGUCUAUCAGGUUGUAGUGGGUGUAACGUACCUACUAGCCUACGACGGAUAUGGGUUGUGAGAGCAAGAGCCCAGAGAUGAAUUCUGAGACAUGAAUCCAGGCCCUACGGGGCGCAGCAGGCGCGAAAACUUUACAAUGCGGGAAACCGCGAUAAGGGGACACCGAGUGCCAGCAUUUAUGUUGGCUGUCCACAUGUGUAUACGGCAUGUGUUAGCAAGGGCCGGGCAAGACCGGUGCCAGCCGCCGCGGUAACACCGGCGGCCCGAGUGGUAAUCACUUUUAUUGGGUCUAAAGGGUCCGUAGCCGGUUUGAUCAGUUCUUCGGGAAAUCUGACAGCUCAACCGUUAGGCUUCCGGGGAAUACUGUCAGACUUGGGACCGGGAGAGGUAAGAGGUACUACAGGGGUAGGA
RNAcentral lists this ribosomal RNA (628 nucleotides) under uncultured archaeon. RNAcentral's name for it is "bacterial SSU rRNA". It matches the Rfam family "Archaeal small subunit ribosomal RNA", at positions 1 to 631 of the family's 1478-position model. The record is from RNAcentral.